CCAACCAGUGGCUUGAUGGCCUGUGUAAUGUAUCUCUUGUCCCAUCUCAAGAAGAAAGAAAUAUAUUAGUGGUGUUACAAAUAAAGCAGGUAGCGUCCCGUUUUAGGAAGAAAGUGUGUUGUGUUGGAAACCCUUGGGUAGAGCAGAAGGAGGUGUCCUGCCUGGGUCAGUGAUGAGUGUUGGCAUGUAUUAUCUGAUCUAAAGUUGAUGUCCAUCACCACUUUAGCUCUAGAAUUACUCUGAGACCCAGACAACUCCAGUUUUAUGUAAAAUCUCUGUAAGGAGAAGGGGGCACAAGUUUGAGUUCUCUCUCCUGGAUGUGUUAGCAAGGUGUGGCUCUGGCUGUCACUCAGAGAUGCUUCUGCGUGACCUGAGAGCAGCUCAGGAUAGCCGGAGCUGAGCAGUGCCAGCAGAUGCUGAGGGAGAGAUUUGGGGUUCCUUUCUGAUGUCUCCGUGAUGUAAAUGAAAUUGUUGAAUCUAUAAAGAAGUUAACCAAAGAAGGAGAAAUAGCUACAAGGUUCUCCCUCUGCGCUGCAAGACAAUGCUGCGAAAGGACCUGAUAAGACAGCCUGCUGCCCCGAGCAUGUUGCUUUGGGGAAGCACGUGCCCUGUGUAGCUUUGUGAGGGAGAAGGAAAGAGCUGAAGCCAAGCCCUGCUCAGGGGCACAGUGUGUGGCGGUAUUUGAGGAGGAGCUGUGUUUCCUGGGGGCAGGCAGCAAUGGAUCUCCUGGGACAGCUGCAGGGAAGGGAGACGGAUGGAAUUCUGGCCUUCAUCCAAUCCUGUCAGCACAAACGUGGUGCAGGAAGUGACAGCACAGGUCAUGGCGCUCCUCCUGUGUCGACCCUCGUCAUGCCCAGGUGGUUCCAUUUCACAACCUGUUGGGAAUUGCUGGACCAUCUCUUUUCAGAAGAACAAAUGAAGGCUGUCAGUCCUGUCUUUCGUAUGCCAGAAGAUGCCCUGCAAGAACAAAGGCACGGCGAGAGCUGUCUCACAGAGAGAAAAGGUGUCUGCCCUCUUGCCGUGGUUUGACUGCUAGAAGGUCAUCUCUGAAACCAUUACCGUAUUCUCUUUUUAAAUGUGUUUAUGUUACUGUAGUAGAGCAAAACUUUGGCCUGGGCUUUGUCGCUUUGUAAAUUGUGUAGAACAGGCUUGUUCUAAUCAUCGGAGCGUAACGUGUUGUUUCGUUGUAUACGAGGUUUAGAAACCUUUCUAAUCUGUAUCCAGAUGUGGGGCUUUGGAUGUUUUUCUGAAUAUUCAAGUCAAAGCAAGAGUGUGAUUGGCUUAAUUUUUGUAUCCCUGUGAUACCAACUGUAUUAACCAUCAUCUGUCUUUAUACGAAGGUGCUUUGAUGAUGGAUUAGAGUGUACUUCAAAAGAAUCUGAAAAAAGCCCUACCUAAGCUCUGCGUUAAUGCCACACGCUUGCGUAUUCUUCCCAUUCAUGCUUGACAUGGCUUUUACAUGCUGAGACACAAGCUGUUUCUUCUGAUGGUGUGAAACCAGCGAAAACAAAAAUUAUGGUUUUAAUAAGUGUAGAUAAAUGUCUUCAUUGAUUGAAGUCUCUCAGACAAGAUUUCCCUGAUAUUUUGAAUAAAGCAUACUUGAGUGUGCGUGUAUGUAGUGAAACUAGCUAAUGUUUAGCACUCCAGAGAAAGUCUCUAUAGGAGAGUGGCUUGUUAUAUAGUGUUGAUCCUAAAUUUGCUGGGUUAAAAUUCUGCUGUCAUGGCAUUUAAGACAACAUCUAAUAACAUGUUGGCAAUUAAGAAUAAAACUAGCCCUGGAAAACACU
Molecule: long non-coding RNA, 1787 nt
Organism: Chroicocephalus ridibundus (black-headed gull)
Lineage: Eukaryota; Metazoa; Chordata; Aves; Charadriiformes; Laridae
Exons: 5
Source: RefSeq, a predicted model, not a curated record